UAAUUAGAGGCAAAAUUAAUGCAUUGUUGACUUAAAUGGGCCAGCAUCCUGUCCUGUGGCGGGAGGCUAUGUGGGCCGAGUCAUGUUCGAAAUGGCGUGAGGCUGGGUUGAGCCGAGUCAUGUUCGAAGUGGCGUGAGGCCAGGUGGGCCCAGUCACAAUCGAGACCCGUGGGCGCUGUUUCUGUACGCUUUAAGUGAAUUGGUUGCGUAUUUCUAACAGCUCGAGCAUUUGGGAUUAAUGGUUAGCGUCAGCGAUCCGACACAUUGUUGGCUUAAAUGGGCAAGCAUCCUGCCCUGUGGCGGGAGGCCAUGUGGGCCGAGUCAUGUUCGAAAUGGCGUAAGGCUGAGUUGGGUCGAGUCAUUUUGAAGUGGCGUGAGACCAGGUGGGCCGAGUCACAAUCGAGACCCGUGGGCGCUGUUUCUGUACGCUUUAAGUGAAUUGGUUGCGUAUUUCUAACAGCUCGAGCUUUUGGGAUUAAUGGUUAGCGCCAACGAUCCGACAAGUGGUAUCAGAGCCAGAGGUCACGGGUUCGAUUCCUGCAUGCUGCAAAUGUGUGCAGGUGCUGUAUGGGGGAUUGUCGGCUUAAAUGGGCCAGCAUCCUGCCCUGUGGCGGGAGGCCAUGUGGGCCAAGCCAUGUUCGAAAUGGCAUGAGGCUGGGUUGGGCCGAGUCAUGUUCGAAGUAGUAUGAGGCCAGGUGGGCCGAGUCACAAUCGAGACCCGUGGGCACUGUUUCUGUACGCUUUAAGUGAAUUGGUUGCGUAUUUCUAACAGCUCGAGCUUUUGGGAUUAAUAGUUAGCGCCAACGAUCCGACAGACAGUGAAUUCUGAGCUCUCCUGAAAAGUUUUAUCUCAUGCUUAAUGAAUUUUUUAUUAGGGUCCGUUUGGUUCAAGGCAAAACUAUGAAAAAUAAUUUUUAAUGGAAAAAUAUUUUUGGUGGAAAUUUUUUUUUUACAUUUUAUAGUGUUUGAAUCGUAGGAAAAAAAAUAAUUUUCUAUCAACAUUGGUUUAGUUGGAAGGAAAAAAAUUUACAUUUAUUUUAUUUGAUGGAAAAAAAAUAAAUGAAAAAUUUUUACACAGAUCGAGUUUUUAUUUUCAACCCGCAAAAUGGUAGAAAAUGAAAGCUUUAAUUUUCUUUCAAAAACGUAAAAAUAAUUUUAUACGACAAACCAAACGAAUAAAAAAAUAUUUUUUAUAUAGAAAAUAAUUUUUCAAUCCGUUUUACGCAGAACCAAAAGAGGAGUAUAAAACUAAGGUAAACUUCAAAUACCACCCAUGUGGUUUCGCACUUUCUCACUUUAGUACCCUGUGGUUUAAAGUGUAUCAAUUUAAUGUCCUGUAGUUUUAUUUUUCUCUUUUCGUCAGCUUUUUCGUUAAUAUUUCGUUAAAUUAUAUACAAAAAAACUUCAUAUAUCCACUUAGGUUUAUCUAAUAUUCACUAUAGUACCCUUUAGUUUGAACUUUGUCACUGAUUUAAGAAAAAAAAAAUAAUGGAAUUAAUAAUAUAAAGCGAAAAAUAAAAUCACAGGAAACUAAAUUAAUACACUUUAAACUAUAAGAUAUUAAAUUAAAAAAGUGCGAAAUCAUAGGGGUAAUAUUUAAAGUUUCCUGAGCUCCUAUUU
RNAcentral lists this long non-coding RNA (1620 nucleotides) under Ananas comosus (pineapple). RNAcentral's name for it is "long non-coding RNA (ACOM_LNC002517)". The record is from RNAcentral. Lineage: Eukaryota; Viridiplantae; Streptophyta; Magnoliopsida; Poales; Bromeliaceae.